This 1168-nucleotide ribosomal RNA is filed under the name uncultured Bacteroides sp. Its description in RNAcentral is "bacterial SSU rRNA". It matches the Rfam family "Bacterial small subunit ribosomal RNA", at positions 10 to 1176 of the family's 1533-position model. Lineage: Bacteria; Pseudomonadati; Bacteroidota; Bacteroidia; Bacteroidales; Bacteroidaceae. The record is from RNAcentral.
AGUUUGAUCCUGGCUCAGGAUGAACGCUAGCUACAGGCUUAACACAUGCAAGUCGAGGGGCAGCAUUGGAGUAGCAAUACUUCAGAUGGCGACCGGCGCACGGGUGAGUAACACGUAUCCAACCUGCCGCUUACUCGGGGAUAGCCUUUCGAAAGAAAGAUUAAUACCCGAUGGUAUAAAGAGUUCGCAUGUUCUCUUUAUUAAAGAAUUUCGGUAAGCGAUGGGGAUGCGUUCCAUUAGAUAGUUGGCGGGGUAACGGCCCACCAAGUCUACGAUGGAUAGGGGUUCUGAGAGGAAGGUCCCCCACAUUGGAACUGAGACACGGUCCAAACUCCUACGGGAGGCAGCAGUGAGGAAUAUUGGUCAAUGGACGAGAGUCUGAACCAGCCAAGUAGCGUGAAGGAUGACUGCCCUAUGGGUUGUAAACUUCUUUUAUAAGGGAAUAAAGUGAGGGACGUGUCCCUUUUUGUAUGUACCUUAUGAAUAAGGAUCGGCUAACUCCGUGCCAGCAGCCGCGGUAAUACGGAGGAUCCAAGCGUUAUCCGGAUUUAUUGGGUUUAAAGGGAGCGUAGGUUGACAUAUAAGUCAGCUGUGAAAGUUUACGGCUCAACCGUGAAAUUGCAGUUGAUACUGUAUGUCUUGAGUGUACAAGAGGUGGGCGGAAUUCGUGGUGUAGCGGUGAAAUGCUUAGAUAUCACGAAGAACUCCAAUUGCGAAGGCAGCUCACUGGGGUACAACUGACACUGAGGCUCGAAAGUGUGGGUAUCAAACAGGAUUAGAUACCCUGGUAGUCCACACAGUAAACGAUGAAUACUCGCUGUUUGCGAUAUACAGUAAGCGGCCAAGCGAAAGCAUUAAGUAUUCCACCUGGGGAGUACGCCGGCAACGGUGAAACUCAAAGGAAUUGACGGGGGCCCGCACAAGCGGAGGAACAUGUGGUUUAAUUCGAUGAUACGCGAGGAACCUUACCCGGGCUUGAAUUGCAGAGGAACAUAGUUGAAAGAUUAUGGCCGCAAGGUCUCUGUGAAGGUGCUGCAUGGUUGUCGUCAGCUCGUGCCGUGAGGUGUCGGCUUAAGUGCCAUAACGAGCGCAACCCUUAUCAUUAGUUACUAACAGGUCAUGCUGAGGACUCUAGUGAGACUGCCGUCGUAAGAUGUGAGGAAGGUGG